GCCAGGCAUGCUGGCACGUGCCUGUAGUCCCAGCUACUCAGGAAGCUGAGAUGGGAGAAUCACUUGAGCCCAGGAAGUCAAGGCUGCAGUGAGCCAUGAUCGCACCACCGCACUCCAGCCUGGGCAACAAAGUAAGACCCCAUCUCAA
This 148-nucleotide small RNA is filed under the name Pongo abelii (Sumatran orangutan). Its description in RNAcentral is "Metazoan signal recognition particle RNA (ENSPPYG00000034591.1)". Lineage: Eukaryota; Metazoa; Chordata; Mammalia; Primates; Hominidae. The record is from Rfam by way of RNAcentral.